GGCCACUAGAAUAAGUAGCUACUAACUACGUGCCAGCAGUCGCGGUAAUACGUAGGCUACAAGCGUUACUCGGAUUUAUUGGGCGUAAAGGGUCUGUAGACGGUUUUCUAAGUCUUGUUUCAAAGACCUCGACUUAAUCGAGGAAAGGGGCAAGAUACUGGGAGACUAGAGUGGUAUCGGGGUUACUGGAAUUUUUAGUGUAGGGGUUAAAUCCGUGGAUACUAAAAAGAACACCAAGCGCGAAGGCGGGUAACUAGGUAUUUACUGACGUUCAGAGACGAAAGCUAGGGUAGCAAAUCAGAUUAGAGACCUGAGUAGUCCUAGCCGUAAACAUUGUCCGUUAGUUCUUCUCAAUUUUUAUUGGGAGGGAUGUUAGCAAACGCGUUAAACGGAUCGCCUGGGGAGUAUAGCCGCAAGGCCGAAACUCAAACGAAUUGGCGGGGAGGCGCACAACCAGUGGAGCAUGUGGUUCAAUUCGAUACAAAGCGAUGAACCUUACCUGGGUUUGAAAUGCACCUGCAGGCUUCUGAAAGGAAGCGUCCUUCGAGGGUGGUGCACAGCUGUUGCAUGGCUGUCGUCAGCUCGUGACGUGAGUUGUUCUCUUAAGUGAGGUAACGAGCGCAACCCCCGUUCUGUGUUAUUGUGUCACAGAAGACUGCCUAGCAUUAUUUUGUUAGGAGGAAGGAGGGGACGACGUCAAGUCAUCAUGAUGCUUAUAUCCAGGGCUACACACAUCCUACAAUGGGCUAUAACAGAGGGUUGCAAGACCGCAAGGUGGAGCUAAUCCCUAAACUAGCCCUCAGUUGGGAUUGCAGGCUGAAACUCGCCUGCAUGAACCCGGAAUUGGUAGUAAUCGCACAUCAGCAGCGUGCGGUGAAUACGUUCUCGCCUCUUGCACACACCGCCCGU
Molecule: ribosomal RNA, 909 nt
Filed under: uncultured bacterium
Lineage: Bacteria
Description: bacterial SSU rRNA
Rfam family: Bacterial small subunit ribosomal RNA
Source: RNAcentral